This 980-nucleotide ribosomal RNA is filed under the name uncultured marine bacterium. RNAcentral's name for it is "bacterial SSU rRNA". It matches the Rfam family "Bacterial small subunit ribosomal RNA", at positions 49 to 1026 of the family's 1533-position model. The record is from RNAcentral.
UUACACAUGCAGUCGUGCGAGAAAGUAUCUUCGGAUAUGAGUAGAGCGGCGGACGGGUGAGUAACGCGUAGGAAUCUACCUAGUAGAAGGGGAUAGCCCGGGGAAACCCGGAUUAAUACCGUAUACCUCCUUUGGGAGAAAGAAGGCCUCUCUUUGAAGCUUUCGCUAUUAGAUGAGCCUGCGUAAGAUUAGCUUGUUGGUGAGGUAAAGGCUCACCAAGGCGACGAUCUUUAGCUGGUCUGAGAGGACGAUCAGCCACAUUGGGACUGAGACACGGCCCAGACUCCUACGGGAGGCAGCAGUGGGGAAUAUUGGACAAUGGGCGCAAGCCUGAUCCAGCCAUACCGCGUGUGUGAAGAAGGCCUUCGGGUUGUAAAGCACUUUAAGCAGGGAGAAAAAGUUAUAAGUUAAUACCUUAUAACCGUGAUGUUACCUGCAGAAUAAGCACCGGCUAAUUCCGUGCCAGCAGCCGCGGUAAUACGGAAGGUGCAAGCGUUAAUCGGAAUUACUGGGCGUAAAGCGCGCGUAGGUGGUUUGUUAAGUUGGAUGUGAAAGCCCUGGGCUCAACCUAGGAACUGCAUCCAAAACUAACUCACUAGAGUACGAUAGAGGGAGGUAGAAUUCAUAGUGUAGCGGUGGAAUGCGUAGAUAUUAUGAAGAAUACCAGUGGCGAAGGCGGCCUCCUGGAUCUGUACUGACACUGAGGUGCGAAAGCGUGGGUAGCGAACAGGAUUAGAUACCCUGGUAGUCCACGCCGUAAACGAUGACAACUAGCUGUUGGAAGACAAAGUCUUUCAGUGGCGCAGCUAACGUUUUAAGUUGUCCGCCUGGGGAGUACGGCCGCAAGGCUAAAACUCAAAUGAAUUGACGGGGACCCGCACAAGCGGUGGAGCAUGUGGUUUAAUUCGAUGCAACGCGAAAAACCUUACCUACUCUUGACAUACUUGGGAACUCUUGUAAUGAGAGUGUGCCUUUUGGAA